GAUGAACGCUGGCGGCGUGCCUAAUACAUGCAAGUCGAGCGAACAGACGAGAGUGCUUGCCCUCUCUGACGUUAGCGGCGGACGGGUGAGUAACACGUGGGUAACCUACCUAUAAGACUGGGAUAACUUCGGGAAACCGGAGCUAAUACCGGAUAAUAUUUAGCUUCGCAUGAAGCAAUAGUGAAAGACGGUUCUGCUGUCACUUAUAGAUGGACCCGCGGUGUAUUAGCUAGUUGGUGAGGUAACGGCUCACCAAGGCAACGAUACAUAGCCGACCUGAGAGGGUGAUCGGACACACUGGGACUGAGACACGGCCCAGACUCCUACGGGAGGCAGCAGUAGGGAAUCUUCCGCAAUGGACGAAAGUCUGACGGAGCAAUGCCGCGUGAGUGAAGAAGGUGUUCGGAUCGUAAAACUCUGUUGUAAGGGAAGAACAAGUACGUUAGUAACUGAACGUACAUUGACGGUACCUUACCAGAAAGCCACGGCUAACUCCGUG
This 499-nucleotide ribosomal RNA is filed under the name uncultured bacterium. RNAcentral describes it as "partial 16S ribosomal RNA". It matches the Rfam family "Bacterial small subunit ribosomal RNA", at positions 28 to 507 of the family's 1533-position model. The record is from RNAcentral.